AGGACUUUGGGGGCUACUUUUGCUCCUACUUUUAGUAGUGCUAUUGCUCCUCCUACCUCAUUUUAACAGAAGAAGAAACAAAGAGAAGUAAAAUGAUUUGCUUCUGGCUGCACAGUCAGUGUACCUCACCCUGCCUUUCAGUUUCAUCAUAAAGCAAGAUCUAAAGGAAUCAGGAUCCCAGCUCCCUUCUCCUUCUUAAUGGAAAAAGCCAGCCCUCAGAAAGGCGCAGCUCUCCUGGCUCCUCAAACAACAUGAAGAUUUUUUGUCAUUUCGCGAUGUAAGCCCCAAGCCCUGAUCAUGCAUGAUUUACUGGACAAGGAAUUGCAACUCAGCCCAGCGCAUCUUCAUUGGAU
Phascolarctos cinereus (koala) is the source of this 353-nucleotide non-coding RNA. The record is from RefSeq and is a predicted model, not a curated record. Lineage: Eukaryota; Metazoa; Chordata; Mammalia; Diprotodontia; Phascolarctidae.